CAGUAGCCGCGGUAAUACGUAGGGUGCAAGCGUUGUCCGGAAUCAUUGGGCGUAAAGCGCGCGUAGGUGGCCAUUUAAGUCCGCUGUGAAAGUCAAAGGCUCAACCUUUGAAAGCCGGUGGAUACUGGAUGGCUAGAGUACGGAAGAGGCGUGUGGAAUUCCUGGUGUAGCGGUGGAAUGCGCAGAUAUCAGGAGGAACACCAAUAGCGAAGGCAGCUCGCUGGGACGUUACUGACACUGAGGCGCGAAAGCGUGGGGAGCGAACAGGAUUAGAUACCCCCGUAGUUCCUGUCUCUUAUAC
Molecule: ribosomal RNA, 301 nt
Filed under: uncultured bacterium
Lineage: Bacteria
Description: partial 16S ribosomal RNA
Rfam family: Bacterial small subunit ribosomal RNA
Source: RNAcentral